AGUGAACGCUGGCGGUAGGCCUAACACAUGCAAGUCGAACGGCAGCACAAUAAGAGCUUGCUCUUACGGGUGGCGAGUGGCGGACGGGUGAGGAAUACAUCGGAAUCUACUUUUUCGUGGGGGAUAAUGUAGGGAAACUUACGCUAAUACCGCAUACGACCUACGGGUGAAAGCAGGGGAUCUUCGGACCUUGCGCGAUUGAAUGAGCCGAUGUCGGAUUAGCUAGUUGGCGGGGUAAAGGCCCACCAAGGCGACGAUCCGUAGCUGGUCUGAGAGGAUGAUCAGCCACACUGGAACUGAGACACGGUCCAGACUCCUACGGGAGGCGGCAGUGGGGAAUAUUGGACAAUGGGCGCAAGCCUGAUCCAGCCAUACCGCGUGGGUGAAGAAGGCCUUCGGGUUGUAAAGCCCUUUUGUUGGGAAAGAAAAGCAGCAGGUUAAUACCCCGCUGUUCUGACGGUACCCAAAGAAUAAGCACCGGCUAACUUCGUG
This 492-nucleotide ribosomal RNA is filed under the name uncultured bacterium. RNAcentral's name for it is "partial 16S ribosomal RNA". It matches the Rfam family "Bacterial small subunit ribosomal RNA", at positions 29 to 507 of the family's 1533-position model. The record is from RNAcentral.